This is an RNA transcript of Populus euphratica (Euphrates poplar), 2226 nucleotides long. It is a transcript of the gene named Mitochondrial transcription termination factor family protein, with no coding region annotated. The record is from RefSeq and is a predicted model, not a curated record. The transcript has 8 exons. NCBI's taxonomy places the organism in Eukaryota, Viridiplantae, Streptophyta, Magnoliopsida, Malpighiales, Salicaceae.
GGUGGGGUUUAAGGGCAUAUUCCCUCACAAUCAUAUUCUAUCUGAAAAUUUAUCAUUCUCUGGCUAUCAAAAACCUGAAAAGCGUAAGCAUAAAGAGAUGGCAGUUUGUUCUGUUUAUCCAUUAAACCCUACUCUCCUCUCUCACUCUCUUGCUCUUUCUCUUUCCCAUCAUUCUCAUGUUUACUUGAGUGCAGAAUCAGUGAGCAGAAUAAUAAGAAGAGAAGGCAGACAAGGCAGUAUGACUGUUAGGGUUUUAUCCACCCAUUCAAAUGCUAAGAUUCUCAACCCUAAACGAAAAUCACGCUACGGCCACACCUUCAGUCUCUACGAUACUGAUACCGGUCUUGAUGAUUGGUUGCUGGAUGAUGAAUUUGCAGAGCCUGUGGAUUUUGAAGUCGAUGGAAAGAAAAGAGUUAAUUCGCAGAAGAAAACAAGUACCAGAGAAGCUGGCCAGAGAUUAUUCAAUUCGAGAACUAGCGAGAACAUUCAGGAAAAGAGUAUGGUUGGAAACUUCUAUGGUACUAAAAAUAGAACAAAAGAAGCUGAUUCCUCUGACAUUAAUGGACAAGGAAAGCUAAUAACAGGGAAAUCUACUGAGGACAGAUAUCCAAAGCUAUCUGAAGAAAUAGAUUUGGAUGAAAAGUGGCUCCCCCUUUUGGAUUACCUAAGCACGUUUGGGCUCAAGGAAUCACACUUUAUCCAAAUCUAUGAGAGGCACAUGCCAUCACUCCGAAUAAAUGUAUGUUCUGCACGGGAGAGAUUGGAGUACCUGCAGAGUAUUGGCGUCAAACACAGAGAUAUAAAAAGAAUACUUUUGAGGCAACCGCAAAUUCUAGAAUAUACAGUGGAGAGUAAUUUGAAGUCUCAUACUGCUUUCUUGAUUGGUUUAGGUAUUCCAGAUUCCAGAAUAGGGCAGAUAAUUGCUGCUGCUCCAUCUCUAUUUUCUUAUAGUGUUGAGAAUUCUCUAAAACCCACAGUUAGAUAUUUGGUUGAGGAGGUUGGAAUUGAUGAAAAAAAUAUAGGAAAAGUUGUGCAGCUGAGCCCUCAAAUCCUGGUUCAGCGGAUUGAUGUAUCAUGGAAUACUCGCUAUCUUUUUCUAUCCAGGGAGCUGGGAGCAUCCAGAGAUAGCGUAGUAAAGAUGGUAACAAAACAUCCUCAGCUCCUUCAUUACAGCAUUGAUGAUGGAUUCAUCCCAAGGAUCAAUUUCCUGAGGAGUAUCGGGAUGCAUAAUGGUGACAUCUUGAAAGUCUUGACCAGCCUUACACAGGUAUUAUCUCUGUCACUGGAAGACAAUCUAAAGCCAAAGUACAAGUAUUUGAUCAAUGAACUUCGUAAUGAGGUGCAAUCCUUGACCAAAUACCCUAUGUACUUAAGCUUGUCUUUAGACCAGAGAAUUCGCCCUCGCCAUAGGUUCUUGGUUGCCUUAAAGAAAGCUCCAAAGGGGCCAUUUCCUCUUAGUUCAUUUGUUCCAACUGAUGAAAGCUUUUGUCAGCAGUGGGCUGGAACUAGUGUAGAUAAAUAUUUGGCUUUUCGGCAACAAUUGCUACUAAAAGAGUUUGCUAAGAAAUAUGAAAAACGACGGUAAUGUUUUGUCGUCAAGCUUCUUCAAUGUUGUUUCUAACACAAGUAAAGGAGUGAGGUCUGUCUAUGAAUUAAAGCAACCUGCAAGAUUGGUUUCUGAAGGCUAGUGAGGACAUUUUGGGGUGAAGGUUUGGUUUGAUGGCAUGGUAAUUUGACCAAUAUCAGAUUCAGAGCACCCUUUUUGAUGUUAGAGCUCUGAAAGGCACGUGAGAAUACGAUCAGACCUGCUAGUAAUUGUGAAGGUGAAAGAGAUCAAGCAGAUGUCUAUAAAGUUAGUUUGCUGUGAUGAUACGUUUUUUCUGAAUCUUAUGACUCCAGACAAUAGUAUUUGCAAGGUCUAUGCUAAUGUCACACAUCAAGAGAUGAAAUUUUGAAUGGGGCGUGUACUCACCGGAAUUUUUUGUUGUUCUUAUACCUUUUGUUUUUCUUUGUUUUUUUCCCCUGGACGUAUCAUGCCUCCACGCCUACACCUAUAUAAUGUACUCUAGAGUUGCCUGUGCAGCUUCAAGAAUCAGCACUGAGAGUAGCUGCUGCUUUUACCAUAUAAAAAAAAUACAGAUAAAAAGACUAAUUGAUUUGCUCAAUGAUUUGGAUUUGACGUUUUAUGCAUCUAUUUGUAGCAAUUGCAUGUUUGAAGUUGCUUCA